Molecule: ribosomal RNA, 913 nt
Filed under: Lelliottia nimipressuralis
Lineage: Bacteria; Pseudomonadati; Pseudomonadota; Gammaproteobacteria; Enterobacterales; Enterobacteriaceae
Description: partial 23S ribosomal RNA
Rfam family: Bacterial large subunit ribosomal RNA
Source: RNAcentral
GGGGAGGAGCCCAGAGUCUGAAUCAGCGCGUGUGUUAGUGGAAGCGUCUGGAAAGUCGCACGAUACAGGGUGAAAGUCCCGUACACAAAAAUGCACACGUUGUGAACUCGAAGAGUAGGGCGGGACACGUGGUAUCCUGUCUGAAUAUGGGGGGACCAUCCUCCAAGGCUAAAUACUCCUGACUGACCGAUAGUGAACCAGUACCGUGAGGGAAAGGCGAAAAGAACCCCGGCGAGGGGAGUGAAAAAGAACCUGAAACCGUGUACGUACAAGCAGUGGGAGCCUCUUUUAUGGGGUGACUGCGUACCUUUUGUAUAAUGGGUCAGCGACUUAUAUUCUGUAGCAAGGUUAACCGUAUAGGGGAGCCGAAGGGAAACCGAGUCUUAACUGGGCGUUAAGUUGCAGGGUAUAGACCCGAAACCCGGUGAUCUAGCCAUGGGCAGGUUGAAGGUUGGGUAACACUAACUGGAGGACCGAACCGACUAAUGUUGAAAAAUUAGCGGAUGACUUGUGGCUGGGGGUGAAAGGCCAAUCAAACCGGGAGAUAGCUGGUUCUCCCCGAAAGCUAUUUAGGUAGCGCCUCGUGAACUCAUCUUCGGGGGUAGAGCACUGUUUCGGCUAGGGGGCCAUCCCGGCUUACCAACCCGAUGCAAACUACGAAUACCGAAGAAUGUUAUCACGGGAGACACACGGCGGGUGCUAACGUCCGUCGUGAAGAGGGAAACAACCCAGACCGCCAGCUAAGGUCCCAAAGUCAUGGUUAAGUGGGAAACGAUGUGGGAAGGCACAGACAGCCAGGAUGUUGGCUUAGAAGCAGCCAUCAUUUAAAGAAAGCGUAAUAGCUCACUGGUCGAGUCGGCCUGCGCGGAAGAUGUAACGGGGCUAAACCAUGCACCGAAGCUGCGGCAGCGAC